UACGAGAGGUGCAAGCGUUGUCCGGAUUUAUUGGGCGUAAAGCGUUUCUAAAGGCGCUUUUGUAAGUUAUCUUUCAAAUUCUGAGGCUCAACCUCAGGCAGGGAGGUAAUACUACAAGAGUUGAAAUAUUUCGGGGUUACUAGAACUGUCGAUGUAGGGGUGAAAUCCGUUGAUAUCGAUAGGAAUUCCAAGGGCGAAGGCAGGUAACUAGGAAUUUUUUGACGCUGAUGAACGAAAGCUAGGGGAGCGAAAGGG
RNAcentral lists this ribosomal RNA (255 nucleotides) under uncultured bacterium. Its description in RNAcentral is "partial 16S ribosomal RNA". It matches the Rfam family "Bacterial small subunit ribosomal RNA", at positions 524 to 776 of the family's 1533-position model. The record is from RNAcentral.